AUGCACGCUGGCGGCGUGCCUCAUCCCUGCCAGUCGAGCGCACAGACGAGGAGCUUUCUCCUCUGACGUUAGCGGCGGACGGGUGAGUAACACGUGGAUAACCUACCUAUAAGACUGGGAUAACUUCGGGAAACCGGAGCUAAUACCGGAUAAUAUAUUGAACCGCAUGGUUCAAUAGUGAAAGACGGUUUUGCUGUCACUUAUAGAUGGAUCCGCGCCGCAUUAGCUAGUUGGUAAGGUAACGGCUUACCAAGGCAACGAUGCGUAGCCGACCUGAGAGGGUGAUCGGCCACACUGGAACUGAGACACGGUCCAGACUCCUACGGGAGGCAGCAGUAGGGAAUCUUCCGCAAUGGGCGAAAGCCUGACGGAGCAACGCCGCGUGAGUGAUGAAGGUCUUCGGAUCGUAAAACUCUGUUAUUAGGGAAGAACAAAUGUGUAAGUAACUAUGCACGUCUUGACGGUACCUAAUCAGAAAGCCACGGCUAACUACGUG
This 496-nucleotide ribosomal RNA is filed under the name uncultured bacterium. Its description in RNAcentral is "partial 16S ribosomal RNA". It matches the Rfam family "Bacterial small subunit ribosomal RNA", at positions 29 to 507 of the family's 1533-position model. The record is from RNAcentral.